UUCCAACCCACAGCAAAAUGGCCACUCGGUCGCCAUCUUAAGGUCCUGAAGAAUGUCAACAGUUGAUGAAGAACAUUCCAGAUUUGGGGAAAAUCCGUGCAAAAGCACAGAAAUGAAUACACAGAGGAUUAAAGAGUUUGAAUGCAUACAUAUCUUAAAAACCAAGUCUAGUACAGCAUAAUCACGUGGUGUUUUCUUUCAUUCUAUUAUUGUGAUGCAUUACAAUGAUUUUCUUAUGGUGAAGCAUUCCUGUAUUCCUAGGAUACAUCUCACUUGGACAGGACUUCAAACUUCAAACAGCAGUUUCAGCAUCUCUACAGAAGACCAUUAUGCUUAGGAGAAGUACUAAAGAUGCCUGUUGGAAAAACAAAUUAUAAUCAAGGCAAAAAGCUCAAGAGAACAGGAAAUAAAUAAACCAAAAAGUAUUUUCCUCAAA
Suricata suricatta (meerkat) is the source of this 436-nucleotide long non-coding RNA. RefSeq lists it as uncharacterized. Lineage: Eukaryota; Metazoa; Chordata; Mammalia; Carnivora; Herpestidae. The record is from RefSeq and is a predicted model, not a curated record. The transcript is spliced from 5 exons.